RNAcentral lists this ribosomal RNA (728 nucleotides) under Megahertzia amplexicaulis. RNAcentral's name for it is "eukaryotic LSU rRNA". The stretch from base 291 to 446 matches the Rfam family "5.8S ribosomal RNA". The record is from RNAcentral. Lineage: Eukaryota; Viridiplantae; Streptophyta; Magnoliopsida; Proteales; Proteaceae.
GUAGGUGAACCUGCGGAAGGAUCAUUGUCGAUACCUGCCCGACAGAGAGACCAGCGAACGUGUUGCAUAAUCAUCAAAGGGAAAGGGUUUGGUGGGGGUGCGAGCCCCUUCCUCCCAGACCCUCUGUAAGGUUGGUCCGCGGACAUCCGUGGCAUCCGACCUAAUAAACAAAACCACCGGCGCAGUUGGCGCCAAGGAAGCUCACAACGGAAUGGGCGUGUGUCACCCAUCGCUGUGCCCCCGGCACGGUGUGUGUGUGUGUGCCCGUCUUAGAUCCGAAACUCAUUAACGACUCUCGGCAACGGAUAUCUCGGCUCUCGCAUCGAUGAAGAACGUAGCGAAAUGCGAUACUUGGUGUGAAUUGCAGAAUCCCGUGAACCAUCGAGUCUUUGAACGCAAGUUGCGCCCCAGGCCAACAGGUUGAGGGCACGCCUGCCUGGGCGUCACGUAUCGUGUCGCCCCCCUCUGUUGCCCUAGUGGCGAUGGAGUGCGGAUCGGAUAUUGGCCCCCCGUGUCAUUAUUUUGAGGUGCGGUCGGCCUAAAGACAAGUCCCCCUUUGUGGCAAUCGUCACGACGAGUGGUGGUUGUAGCUGCUCUGCCAUAAUUACUUACGGAUGUCGUGUGCAAUUGUCACUCCUAUUGGGGUUCUAUUGUUAACCCUGAUCAUGUUUCGUCUCUCGACGGCAUUUUCGACCGCGACCCCAGGUCAGGCGGGGCUACCCGCUGAG